Molecule: long non-coding RNA, 1190 nt
Filed under: Pan troglodytes (chimpanzee)
Lineage: Eukaryota; Metazoa; Chordata; Mammalia; Primates; Hominidae
Description: long non-coding RNA NONPTRT002343
Source: RNAcentral
AUGAGAGGAAGACCGUAGUCCAGGAGCAGCUAUGGCUCAUGGCUGUAAUCCCAACACUUUGGGAGGCUGAAGCAGGUAGAUCGCUGAGUCCAGGGGUUUGAGACCAGCCUGGGCAAUAUGGUGAAACCCUAUCUCACACACACAUAAAAUUAGCCAGCAUGGUGGCACACUCCUUUAGUCCCAGCUACUCAGGAGGCUGAGGUGAGAGGACUGAUUGAGCCCGGGAGGUCAAGGCUACAGUGAGCCAUGAUCACAUCCCUGCAUUCCAGCUUGGGUGACAGAGUGAGACCCUAUCUCGAGAAAAAAAAAAAAGAGAGAGAUAGAGGAAGACCAAAAAAGGGUAAUGGAACUGGUCAUGGUGGCUCAUGUUUACAGUCCUAGCUACUUAUCCAACCCACGGCCCAUGGGCUGCAUGAAGCCCAGGACAGCUUUGAACAUGGCCCAACACAAAUUCAUAAACUUUCUUAAAAAUUAUGAGAUUUUUGCCAGGCACAGUGGCUUACGCCUGUAAUCCCAGCACUUUAGGAGGCUGAGGCAGGUGGAUCACCUGAGGUCAGGAGUUCAAGACCAGCCUGACCAGCAUGGUGAAAUCCCAUCUCUACUAAAAAUACAAAAUUAACGGGCAUGGUGGUACAUGCCUGUAAUUCCAGCUACUAGGAAAGCUGAGGCAGGAGAAUCACUUGAACCUGGGAGGCAGAGUUUGCAGUGAGCCGAGAUCAUGCCAUUGCACGCCAGCCUGGGCAACUAGAGCGAAACUCCAUCUCAAAAAAAAAAAAAAAAAAAUUAUGAGUUUUAUGUGUUUUUUUUUUAAGCUCAUCAGCUAUCAUUAGUGUUAGUGUAUUUUAUGUGUGGCCCAAGGCAAUUCUUCUUCCAGUGUGGCCCAGGGAAGCCAAAAGAUUGGACACCCCUGCUCUACAGUGUUCUUAACAAGAGAUCCUGCAGGUUGGACAAGCUUGCUCUACAGCGUUCUUAACAAGAGAUCAUCUAGCCCCUGGGUGGCCGUCUGCACUGUCUGAGGGCUCAUGACUGUGACCUCAGAGACUCUUUAAAUGAUGAAAUCAUGGCUAUAACUAUGGCAAACCUCAAUGGAGAAUGUCAUGCCAAUCAUAACCUCGUUUCACCUGAGCUGCACAAUUACUUCUCAGAUGAGAAAAUGGAGGUACCAAAAAGUGGGCUCUGAACUGUGGAGC